GCUGGGCGUGGUGGCGCAUGCCUGUAAUCCCAGCUACUCGGGAGGCUGAGGCAGGAGAAUUGCUUGAACCAGGGAGUUGGAGGUUGCAGUGAGCUGAGAUCAGGCCCCUACACUCCAGCCUGGUGACAGAGUAAGACUCUGUCUCAA
RNAcentral lists this non-coding RNA (147 nucleotides) under Gorilla gorilla gorilla (western lowland gorilla). The record is from Rfam by way of RNAcentral. Lineage: Eukaryota; Metazoa; Chordata; Mammalia; Primates; Hominidae.